RNAcentral lists this ribosomal RNA (467 nucleotides) under uncultured bacterium. RNAcentral's name for it is "partial 16S ribosomal RNA". It matches the Rfam family "Bacterial small subunit ribosomal RNA", at positions 28 to 507 of the family's 1533-position model. The record is from RNAcentral.
GACGAACGCUGGCGGCGUGCUUAACACAUGCAAGUCGAACGGAAAGGCCUAGCUUGCUGGGUACUCUCGUGGCGCAAGGGUGUGUAACACGUGGGUGAGCUGCCCCUGACUCUGGGGUAAGCCUGCGAAACUGGGUCUCUUAUAGGAUAUUCAUUUUUCUUCUCCUGGGGAUUUGUGGAAAGCUUUUGCGGUUGGGGAUGGGCCCGCGGCCUAUCAGCUUGUUGGUGGGGUAAUGGCCUACCAAGGCUUCGACGGGUAGCCGGCCUGAGAGGGUGAUCGGCCACACUGGGACUGAGACACGGCCCAGACUCCUACGGGAGGCAGCAGUGGGGAAUAUUGCACAAUGGGCGCAAGCCUGAUGCAGCGACGCCGCGUGAGGGAUGACGGCCUUCGGGUUGUAAACCUCUUUCGCCUGCGACGAAGCGCAAGUGACGGUAAGAGCAGAAGAAGCACCGGCUAACUACGUG